Molecule: long non-coding RNA, 494 nt
Filed under: Ananas comosus (pineapple)
Lineage: Eukaryota; Viridiplantae; Streptophyta; Magnoliopsida; Poales; Bromeliaceae
Description: long non-coding RNA (ACOM_LNC012208)
Source: RNAcentral
UUUUCUUAAAAUAAUUGACGUAGUAUUCAUGGUUCAGUUGGUUCUAUGUUUAUUUGAAUACACGUGGUUUUGGUGAAAUUAAUAAAGUAAUUGUGGUUUUCAUGUGAGAUUAUGAAAAUAGUUUCUAACCCUCGUGGUAGUGUGUUUUUAAAAGAAAAUGAUUUCCGUGUGGGAAACGGUAUUGAAAAGAUUUUUUUGAUUUUCAUGACUCUUAGUGUUUCAAAAUGAGUUUCCGGCUAGGAAACGUUUUAAACUAAUAGAUGUGAAUUUAUGAAUAUCUGUGAUGAAAUGAAUGGUGAAUGUGAAUGGUGAAUGUAUGUGAUUGUCAUACUGUUGUGGUUGUAUCUUGUACUUGUGCAACGCUGUGCAAAUACAUGGGAGACUCUGUCCGUGUGAACAGUGAAUUUUCUGUAUUUGUGGCGGAUCUGACAUACUCUGGGGUGAAGGUUUAAAAAAAAAAAAAAUUUGGGAACUUUCGCGUUGGCUUUUAAUUU